GUGGGGAAUAUUGGACAAUGGGGGCAACCCUGAUCCAGCCAUGCCGCGUGUGUGAAGAAGGCCUUCGGGUUGUAAAGCACUUUAAGCUGGGAGGAAGGCCCUGUGGCUAAUAUCCACGGGGAUUGACGUUACCAGCAGAAUAAGCACCGGCAAACUUCGUGCCAGCAGCCGCGGUAAUACGAAGGGUGCGAGCGUUAAUCGGAAUUACUGGGCGUAAAGCGCGCGUAGGUGGUUUUGUAAGCGGAAUGUGAAAUCCCCGGGCUUAACCUGGGAACUGCAUGCCGAACUGCAAGACUGGAGUAUAGUAGAGGGGUGUGGAAUUCCCGGUGUAGCGGUGAAAUGCGUAGAUAUCGGGAGGAACAUCAGUGGCGAAGGCGGCACCCUGGACUGAUACUGACACUGAGGCGCGAAAGCGUGGGUAGCGAACAGGAUUAGAUACCCGAGUAGUCC
RNAcentral lists this ribosomal RNA (450 nucleotides) under uncultured bacterium. RNAcentral's name for it is "bacterial SSU rRNA". It matches the Rfam family "Bacterial small subunit ribosomal RNA", at positions 354 to 796 of the family's 1533-position model. The record is from RNAcentral.